GCCAGGUAUGGUGGCGCAUGCCUGUGAUCCCAGCAACUCGGGAGGCUGAGGCAAGAGGAUUGUGGGUUCAAAGCCAGCCUCUGCAAAAAGGGAGGCACUAAGCAACUCAGUGAGACCCUGUCUCUA
RNAcentral lists this small RNA (126 nucleotides) under Marmota monax (woodchuck). The record is from RNAcentral. Lineage: Eukaryota; Metazoa; Chordata; Mammalia; Rodentia; Sciuridae.